Molecule: ribosomal RNA, 501 nt
Filed under: uncultured bacterium
Lineage: Bacteria
Description: partial 16S rRNA
Source: RNAcentral
GCACGUAGUUAGCCGUGGCUUACGCAAGGUACCGUCGUACUGCGGGAUUAUUCAGCCCGCAGCUCUCUUCCCUUGCUUGUGAGGUUUACAUCCCGAAGGAUUUCCUCCCUCACGCGGCGUUGCUGGGUCAGGCUUUCGCCCAUUGCCCAAAAUUCCCCACUGCUGCCUCCCGUAGGAGUCUGGCCCGUGUGUCAGUGCCAGUGUGGCUGGCCGUCCUCUCAGACCAGCUACAGAUCGCAGCCUUGGUGAGCCAUUACCUCACCAACUAGCUAAUCUGCCGCAGGCUCCUCUUCAGGCGCGAGGUCUUACGAUCCCCCGCUUUAACAACUAAUCACCAUUAGGUGCCGCUGCAUUAUGCGGUAUUAGCCCAAGUUUCCCUGGGUUAUUCCCCACCCGAAGGCAGAUUACCCACGUGUUACUCACCCGGACGCCACUCUACUUACCCCCGAAGGGGCUUUCGCGUUCGACUUGCAUGUGUUAGGCACGCCGCCAGCGUUGAUU